RNAcentral lists this ribosomal RNA (497 nucleotides) under uncultured bacterium. RNAcentral's name for it is "partial 16S ribosomal RNA". It matches the Rfam family "Bacterial small subunit ribosomal RNA", at positions 28 to 507 of the family's 1533-position model. The record is from RNAcentral.
GAUGAACGCUGGCGGCGUGCCUAAUACAUGCAAGUCGAGCGAACAGACGAGGAGCUUGCUCCUCUGACGUUAGCGGCGGACGGGUGAGUAACACGUGGAUAACCUACCUAUAAGACUGGGAUAACUUCGGGAAACCGGAGCUAAUACCGGAUAAUAUAUUGAACCGCAUUGUUCAAUAGUGAAAGACGGUUUUGCUGUCACUUAUAGAUGGAUCCGCGCCGCAUUAGCUAGUUGGUAAGGUAACGGCUUACCAAGGCAACGAUGCGUAGCCGACCUGAGAGAGUGAUCGGCCACACGGGAACUGGGACACGGUCCAGACGCCUGCGGGAGGCAGCAGUAGGGAAUCUUCCGCAAUGGGCGAAAGCCUGACGGAGCAACGCCGCGUGAGUGAUGAAGGUCUUCGGAUCGUAAAACUCUGUUAUGAGGGAAGAACAAAUGUGUAAGUAACUAUGCACGUCUUGACGGUACCUAAUCAGAAAGCCACGGCUAACUACGUG